UACGGAGGGUGCGAGCGUUGUCCGGAAUCAUUGGGCGUAAAGGGCGCGUAGGUGGCGGGACAAGCGUGCAGUGAAAGCCUGGGGCUCAACCCCGGGUCGGCCGUGCGAACUGUUUUGCUUGAGCACUGUAGAGGCAGGCGGAAUUCCGGGUGUAGCGGUGGAAUGCGUAGAGAUCCGGAAGAACACCGGUGGCGAAGGCGGCCUGCUGGGCAGUAGCUGACACUGAGGCGCGACAGCGUGGGGAGCAAACAGG
RNAcentral lists this ribosomal RNA (253 nucleotides) under uncultured bacterium. RNAcentral describes it as "partial 16S ribosomal RNA". It matches the Rfam family "Bacterial small subunit ribosomal RNA", at positions 524 to 776 of the family's 1533-position model. The record is from RNAcentral.